RNAcentral lists this ribosomal RNA (475 nucleotides) under uncultured bacterium. RNAcentral's name for it is "bacterial SSU rRNA". It matches the Rfam family "Bacterial small subunit ribosomal RNA", at positions 36 to 518 of the family's 1533-position model. The record is from RNAcentral.
CUGGCGGUGUACAUAAGACAUGCAAGUCGAACGGGAGAAGACUGGAAGAUUUAUCUACUAGUUGGACACCGUGGCGGACGGGUGAGUAACACGUAAGCAACCUGCCUAUAAGAGGGGAAUAACAGUGAGAAAUUACUGAUAAUACCGCAUAAGCUGGAGGUAUCGCAUGAUACAUUCAGAAAAGAUUUAUCGCUUAUAGAUGGGCUUGCGUCUGAUUAGCUAGUUGGUGAGAUAACAGCUCACCAAGGCGACGAUCAGUAGCCGGAUUGAGAGGUUGAACGGCCACAUUGGGACUGAGACACGGCCCAGACUCCUACGGGAGGCAGCAGUCGGGAAUAUUGCACAAUGGAGGAAACUCUGAUGCAGUGAACCACCGCGUAUAGGAAGAAGGUCUUAGGAUUGUAAGCUAUUGUCGUGUGAGAAGAAAAUGACCAUCACAGGAGGAAGCCCUGGCUAAAUAUGUGCCAGCCGCUGC